Molecule: long non-coding RNA, 555 nt
Filed under: Homo sapiens (human)
Lineage: Eukaryota; Metazoa; Chordata; Mammalia; Primates; Hominidae
Description: HSALNT0244575
Source: RNAcentral
GGACCCCUCAAGAAGAGAGAAGACCAUCUAAGCCUUACUAAUCAAAGGAUGACCCAUGGACCAGCAGCAUCUACAGCAUCAGGAGACAUUGUCAAAACAUCAAGCUUUUCUAUCAUGCAGGUCCAGAUAAAGAGGGUUGGAGUGGAUAUGAAAGGAUUCCACUGAGGUUGGGAUGAAAGAAAAAGACGAUCUAGAAAUUUCAAGGAACUCUGCUAUGUAAAUUUACCUGAACAUUACAAGAUAAACCUGAGUGUCUAAGAGACUAUCCUAAUCUCACAGACAUUUUAACCUGUGUAAACCCUCGAUUUGCUGGAAUGAACUUCAGUCAUGCAUUUGAGAACCCCCACUUUAAAUAUCGUAAAAAUGUCAUAAUAAUUUCAGAUAAAAGGUUUCCAUUUUUCUCCUUAUGUUUAUAAAACAAAAUUAAAGACUUGUUUUUUCCUCUUUUUCAUUUCAACCAACAAGGUUUUAAGGCCUGAAGAGCAAUUAUAUUUAUACUUUGCCAUGUUUGGUUGAAAGUUUAAACUUGAAAUAAAGUUGAGAUUUAUUGCACUU